Molecule: ribosomal RNA, 274 nt
Filed under: uncultured bacterium
Lineage: Bacteria
Description: partial 16S ribosomal RNA
Rfam family: Bacterial small subunit ribosomal RNA
Source: RNAcentral
AUACGGAGGGUGCAAGCGUUGUUCGGAAUUACUGGGCGUAAAGCGCGUGUAGGCGGUUUGGUAAGUCAGAUGUGAAAGCCCUGGGCUCAACCCGGGAAGUGCAUUUGAAACUGCCUUUCUUGAGUAUGGGAGAGGAGAGUGGAAUUCCCAGUGUAGAGGUGAAAUUCGUAGAUAUUGGGAGGAACACCCGUGGCGAAGGCGACUCUCUGGACCAAUACUGACGCUGAGACGCGAAAGCGUGGGGAGCAAACAGGAUUAGAUACCCCAGUAGUCC